GACGAACGCUGGCGGCGUGCUUAACACAUGCAAGUCGAACGGAAAGGCCCUGCUUUUGUGGGGUGCUCGAGUGGCGAACGGGUGAGUAACACGUGAGUAACCUGCCCUUGACUUUGGGAUAACUUCAGGAAACUGGGGCUAAUACCGGAUAGGAGCUCCUGCUGCAUGGUGGGGGUUGGAAAGUUUCGGCGGUUGGGGAUGGACUCGCGGCUUAUCAGCUUGUUGGUGGGGUAGUGGCUUACCAAGGCUUUGACGGGUAGCCGGCCUGAGAGGGUGACCGGCCACAUUGGGACGGAGAUACGGCCCAGACCCCUACGGGAGGCAGCAGUGGGGAAUAUUGCACAAUGGGCGGAAGCCUGAUGCAGCAACGCCGCGUGCGGGAUGACGGCCUUCGGGUUGUAUACCGCUUUCGCCUGUGACGAAGCGUGAGUGACGGUAAUGGGUAAAGAAGCACCGGCUAACUACGUG
Molecule: ribosomal RNA, 468 nt
Filed under: uncultured bacterium
Lineage: Bacteria
Description: partial 16S ribosomal RNA
Rfam family: Bacterial small subunit ribosomal RNA
Source: RNAcentral